GAUGAACGCUGGCGGCGUGCCUAAUACAUGCAAGUCGAGCGAACGGACGAGAAGCUUGCUUCUCUGAUGUUAGCGGCGGACGGGUGAGUAACACGUGGAUAACCUACCUAUAAGACUGGGAUAACUUCGGGAAACCGGAGCUAAUACCGGAGGAUAUUUUAAACCGCAGGUUUCAAAAGUGAAAGAGGGUUUUGCUGUCCCUUAUGGAUGGAUCCGCGCUGCAUUAGCUAGUUGGUAAGGUAACGGCUUACCAAGGCAACGAUGCAUAGCCGACCUGAGAGGGUGAUCGGCCACACUGGAACUGAGACACGGUCCAGACUCCUACGGGAGGCAGCAGUAGGGAAUCUUCCGCAAUGGGCGAAAGCCUGACGGAGCAACGCCGCGUGAGUGAUGAAGGUCUUCGGAUCGUAAAACUCUGUUAUUAGGGAAGAACAUAUGUGUAAGUAACUGUGCACAUCUUGACGGUACCUAAUCAGAAAGCCACGGCUAACUACGUG
This 497-nucleotide ribosomal RNA is filed under the name uncultured bacterium. RNAcentral's name for it is "partial 16S ribosomal RNA". It matches the Rfam family "Bacterial small subunit ribosomal RNA", at positions 28 to 507 of the family's 1533-position model. The record is from RNAcentral.